RNAcentral lists this ribosomal RNA (339 nucleotides) under uncultured bacterium. Its description in RNAcentral is "bacterial SSU rRNA". It matches the Rfam family "Bacterial small subunit ribosomal RNA", at positions 774 to 1105 of the family's 1533-position model. The record is from RNAcentral.
AGAGAAUAGAUACCCGGGUAGUCCUGGCAGUAAACGGUGCACGUUUGGUGUGGGCGCAAUCGACCGCGUCCGCGCCGGAGCUAAACGCGUUAAACGUGCCGCCUGGGAAGUACGGUCGCAAGAUUAAAACUCAAAGAAAUUGACGGAGACCCGCACAAGCGGUGGAGUAUGUGGCUUAAAUUCGAUGCAACGCGAAGAACCUUACCUGGUCUUGACAUGCAUUGUGUCUCCGGUGAAAGCCGGAUAGGGUAGCAAUACCCGCUUUGCACAGGUGCUGCAUGGCUGUCGUCAGCUCGUGUCGUGAGAUGUUGGGUUAAGUCCCGCAACGAGCGCAACCCC